Molecule: ribosomal RNA, 2899 nt
Filed under: Klebsiella pneumoniae
Lineage: Bacteria; Pseudomonadati; Pseudomonadota; Gammaproteobacteria; Enterobacterales; Enterobacteriaceae
Description: bacterial LSU rRNA
Rfam family: Bacterial large subunit ribosomal RNA
Source: RNAcentral
UUAAGUGACUAAGCGUACACGGUGGAUGCCCUGGCAGUCAGAGGCGAUGAAGGACGUGCUAAUCUGCGAAAAGCGUCGGUAAGGUGAUAUGAACCGUUAUAACCGGCGAUGUCCGAAUGGGGAAACCCAGUGCAAUUCGUUGCACUAUCGUUAACUGAAUACAUAGGUUAACGAGGCGAACCGGGGGAACUGAAACAUCUAAGUACCCCGAGGAAAAGAAAUCAACCGAGAUUCCCCAGUAGCGGCGAGCGAACGGGGAGCAGCCCAGAGUCUGAAUCAGCUUGUGUGUUAGUGGAACGGUCUGGAAAGUCCGACGGUACAGGGUGAUAGUCCCGUACACCAAAAUGCACAGGUUGUGAACUCGAAGAGUAGGGCGGGACACGUGGUAUCCUGUCUGAAUAUGGGGGGACCAUCCUCCAAGGCUAAAUACUCCUGACUGACCGAUAGUGAACCAGUACCGUGAGGGAAAGGCGAAAAGAACCCCGGCGAGGGGAGUGAAAAAGAACCUGAAACCGUGUACGUACAAGCAGUGGGAGCACCUUCGGGUGUGACUGCGUACCUUUUGUAUAAUGGGUCAGCGACUUAUAUUCUGUAGCAAGGUUAACCGUAUAGGGGAGCCGCAGGGAAACCGAGUCUUAACUGGGCGUUAAGUUGCAGGGUAUAGACCCGAAACCCGGUGAUCUAGCCAUGGGCAGGUUGAAGGUUGGGUAACACUAACUGGAGGACCGAACCGACUAAUGUUGAAAAAUUAGCGGAUGACUUGUGGCUGGGGGUGAAAGGCCAAUCAAACCGGGAGAUAGCUGGUUCUCCCCGAAAGCUAUUUAGGUAGCGCCUCGUGAAUUCAUCUUCGGGGGUAGAGCACUGUUUCGGCUAGGGGGUCAUCCCGACUUACCAACCCGAUGCAAACUACGAAUACCGAAGAAUGUUAUCACGGGAGACACACGGCGGGUGCUAACGUCCGUCGUGAAGAGGGAAACAACCCAGACCGCCAGCUAAGGUCCCAAAGUCAUGGUUAAGUGGGAAACGAUGUGGGAAGGCACAGACAGCCAGGAUGUUGGCUUAGAAGCAGCCAUCAUUUAAAGAAAGCGUAAUAGCUCACUGGUCGAGUCGGCCUGCGCGGAAGAUGUAACGGGGCUAAACCAUGCACCGAAGCUGCGGCAGCGACACUAUGUGUUGUUGGGUAGGGGAGCGUUCUGUAAGCCUGCGAAGGUGACCUGUGAGGGUUGCUGGAGGUAUCAGAAGUGCGAAUGCUGACAUAAGUAACGAUAAAGCGGGUGAAAAGCCCGCUCGCCGGAAGACCAAGGGUUCCUGUCCAACGUUAAUCGGGGCAGGGUGAGUCGACCCCUAAGGCGAGGCCGAAAGGCGUAGUCGAUGGGAAACAGGUUAAUAUUCCUGUACUUGGUGUUACUGCGAAGGGGGGACGGAGAAGGCUAUGUUAGCCGGGCGACGGUUGUCCCGGUUUAAGCAUGUAGGCUGGUUGUCCAGGCAAAUCCGGAUAAUCAAGGCUGAGGUGUGAUGACGAGGCACUACGGUGCUGAAGUAACAAAUGCCCUGCUUCCAGGAAAAGCCUCUAAGCAUCAGGUAACAUUAAAUCGUACCCCAAACCGACACAGGUGGUCAGGUAGAGAAUACCAAGGCGCUUGAGAGAACUCGGGUGAAGGAACUAGGCAAAAUGGUGCCGUAACUUCGGGAGAAGGCACGCUGGUGUGUAGGUGAAGUCCCUGCGGAUGGAGCUGAGACCAGUCGAAGAUACCAGCUGGCUGCAACUGUUUAUUAAAAACACAGCACUGUGCAAACACGAAAGUGGACGUAUACGGUGUGACGCCUGCCCGGUGCCGGAAGGUUAAUUGAUGGGGUUAUCCGUAAGGAGAAGCUCUUGAUCGAAGCCCCGGUAAACGGCGGCCGUAACUAUAACGGUCCUAAGGUAGCGAAAUUCCUUGUCGGGUAAGUUCCGACCUGCACGAAUGGCGUAAUGAUGGCCAGGCUGUCUCCACCCGAGACUCAGUGAAAUUGAACUCGCUGUGAAGAUGCAGUGUACCCGCGGCAAGACGGAAAGACCCCGUGAACCUUUACUAUAGCUUGACACUGAACAUUGAGCCUUGAUGUGUAGGAUAGGUGGGAGGCUUUGAAGCGUGGACGCCAGUCUGCGUGGAGCCAACCUUGAAAUACCACCCUUUAAUGUUUGAUGUUCUAACGUUGGCCCCUGACCGGGGUUGCGGACAGUGUCUGGUGGGUAGUUUGACUGGGGCGGUCUCCUCCCAAAGCGUAACGGAGGAGCACGAAGGUUAGCUAAUCCUGGUCGGACAUCAGGAGGUUAGUGCAAUGGCAUAAGCUAGCUUGACUGCGAGCGUGACGGCGCGAGCAGGUGCGAAAGCAGGUCAUAGUGAUCCGGUGGUUCUGAAUGGAAGGGCCAUCGCUCAACGGAUAAAAGGUACUCCGGGGAUAACAGGCUGAUACCGCCCAAGAGUUCAUAUCGACGGCGGUGUUUGGCACCUCGAUGUCGGCUCAUCACAUCCUGGGGCUGAAGUAGGUCCCAAGGGUAUGGCUGUUCGCCAUUUAAAGUGGUACGCGAGCUGGGUUUAGAACGUCGUGAGACAGUUCGGUCCCUAUCUGCCGUGGGCGCUGGAGAAUUGAGGGGGGCUGCUCCUAGUACGAGAGGACCGGAGUGGACGCAUCACUGGUGUUCGGGUUGUCAUGCCAAUGGCACUGCCCGGUAGCUAAAUGCGGAAGAGAUAAGUGCUGAAAGCAUCUAAGCACGAAACUUGCCCCGAGAUGAGUUCUCCCUGAGACUUUAAGUCUCCUGAAGGAACGUUGAAGACGACGACGUUGAUAGGCCGGGUGUGUAAGCGCAGCGAUGCGUUGAGCUAACCGGUACUAAUGAACCGUGAGGCUUAACCUU